RNAcentral lists this transfer RNA (116 nucleotides) under Trametes sanguinea. RNAcentral's name for it is "tRNA-Arg". It matches the Rfam family "tRNA". Rfam says of the family: Transfer RNA (tRNA) molecules are approximately 80 nucleotides in length. Lineage: Eukaryota; Fungi; Basidiomycota; Agaricomycetes; Polyporales; Polyporaceae. The record is from RNAcentral.
GGCUACCUGGCGCAAUGGUAGCGCGUUUGGCUUCGAUCGCCAACGGCACCAACUCAGGCUUCCAACCUGAGCUGUUAGGCACCAAAAGGUUGCAGGUUCGAGUCCUGCGGUGGUCA